AACGAACGCUGGCGGCAGGCCUAACACAUGCAAGUCGAGCGCCCCGCAAGGGGAGCGGCGGACGGGUGAGUAACGCGUGGGAACGUGCCCUUCGCUACGGAAUAGCCUCGGGAAACUGGGAGUAAUACCGUAUAAGCCCUACGGGGGAAAGAUUUAUCGGCAAAGGAUCGGCCCGCGUGGGAUUAGGUAGUUGGUGGGGUAAUGGCCUACCAAGCCGACGAUCCAUAGCUGGUUUGAGAGGAUGAUCAGCCACACUGGGACUGAGACACGGCCCAGACUCCUACGGGAGGCAGCAGUGGGGAAUCUUAGACAAUGGGCGCAAGCCUGAUCUAGCCAUGCCGCGUGAGCGAUGAAGGCCUUAGGGUUGUAAAGCUCUUUCGUGGGGGAAGAUAAUGACUGUACCCCAAGAAGAAGCCCCGGCUAACUCCGUGCCAGCAGCCGCGGUAA
Molecule: ribosomal RNA, 447 nt
Filed under: uncultured bacterium
Lineage: Bacteria
Description: partial 16S ribosomal RNA
Rfam family: Bacterial small subunit ribosomal RNA
Source: RNAcentral